Drosophila takahashii is the source of this 599-nucleotide non-coding RNA. The record is from RefSeq and is a predicted model, not a curated record. NCBI's taxonomy places the organism in Eukaryota, Metazoa, Arthropoda, Insecta, Diptera, Drosophilidae.
GGACGUGUACCGCUGUACCGCUGGAUGCUGGAGUUCCGUUUUUUCCGUCUUUUCGAGUAAAUAAACACACAAUUUUUGUGUUAAUAACACAUUUUUUGUCUGUUCUAUUGUGCGGAAAUCGAGUGAGUGAGAGGGGAAAUAAACAGAAACCGCAAGCAAAAAUCAACAAAAGCGUGUGGGAAGAGGAAAACGAAAAUGAGUGUGUGCGAGUGAAAUAUGGAAAUUGAAAAUGCAAUUAAUCGCGGAUUAAUGGCAAGCCAUAGAAAUCGCUUAAUGGCUUAAAGUGCAAGAGAAAAGUGUUAUUGUUGUCAACGCGGAAGCUCGAAGCCAAAAGUCUGGCGUAACAAAAUCUACGUGUAUUUAUUGUUUUCGUUUUCGCAACAACAAUAAGCCAUUAAGCUGAGUGCUGAAAUAGUCAAUUUACAAUUGGAGCUGCCGAGAAGUCUAUAUAUAAAAUAUAAACAUUUUGGUGUAUUUCCCUGGUAAAAAUGGAGGCAAAAAUCUCAGAAAUAUAAGAAAAAGAAUAUAUCGUUGCAAAUUGCUGAAAAUAAUAAUAAGAGAAGGAACGAAAAAGCGAACAGCAAUAACUCAAGCUCACA